AGGGCACCACCAGGAGUGGAGCCUGCGGCUUAAUUUGACUCAACACGGGGAAACUCACCUGGCCCGGACACCGUGAGGAUUGACAGAUUGAGAGCUCUUUCUUGAUUCGGUGGUUGGUGGUGCAUGGCCGUUCUUAGUUGGUGGAGUGAUUUGUCUGGUUUAUUCCGAUAACGAGCGAGACUCUAGCCUACUAAAUAGUUACUGGAUAAUUGCGUCCAGAAGACUUCUUAGAGGGACAAGCGGUGUUCAGCCGCACGAAGCUGAGCAAUAACAGGUCUGUGAUGCCCUUAGAUGUCCAGGGCUGCACGCGCGCUACACUGGAGGAAUCAGCGUGCUGUAACCAUUGCCGAAAGGCAUUGGUAACCCCUUGAAAAUCCUCCGUGAUCGGGAUCGGGAAUUGCAAUUAUUUCCCUUGAACGAGGAAUUCCUAGUAAGUGUGAGUCAUCAGCUCACGUUGAUUACGUCCCUGCCCUUUGUACACACCGCCCGUCGCUGCCCGGGACUGAGCCGUUUCGAGAA
This 519-nucleotide ribosomal RNA is filed under the name uncultured eukaryote. Its description in RNAcentral is "SSU rRNA". It matches the Rfam family "Eukaryotic small subunit ribosomal RNA", at positions 1161 to 1705 of the family's 1831-position model. The record is from RNAcentral.